UGGGAAACAUCUAUCACUGAGCCGAUCGUGCUUGACAUGGGCGUCACACUUAGGGGACAGGUUGAGAGCGCAAAUACGGAACACGGCCAUUAGUGCCAUCUCAGUCCCCACCAGCUCCUCGACCUCGGUCAGCUCCUCAAGCUCCAGAGCCUCUGGAUCUUCAGACUGUCACCUGGUGGCACCUCCCUUCCUGAUCACCCAGGGCACCGGAUGACAGAUUCCCGCCAAGUGCUGGACAGGUGCUGCAUACAUUGAAUCCGUACAGAAUGUUACCUUUCUUCUUUACAAAAAAUUAAAAAUUAUUUUAUCAGCAGGUGUUUGCAGAACAUAAUGCUGACACACGUCACGGGGAGUUGGCCUUACCACAACUGCAGCAGCUUCAAGCAGCACAGAGUCUGACUGCCUCACCGUUUGGGUAGACUGGGAGUCCAGGCCAAAUUUAGCUGGGCGCUGUGCUCAGGUCUCCCAGGGCCACAAUCAAGUAAUGCCAGGGCACUGAAAUGUUGUACCCGGAUGUUGCAAGCAGAGCAGGACCGGGGGCUCAGCUCCACCUCCAGAGUGCCACACCAGGAGCUCUGGCUCGGGUGCUCCCAGGAGCAGGCUCCAGCCACAGCCAGGUAACAUCAGUCCCC
This is a long non-coding RNA of Heterocephalus glaber (naked mole-rat), 632 nucleotides long. Lineage: Eukaryota; Metazoa; Chordata; Mammalia; Rodentia; Bathyergidae. The record is from Ensembl.